GACGAACGCUGGCGGCGUGCUUAACACAUGCAAGUCGAACGGAAAGGCCCUGCUUUUGUGGGGUGCUCGAGUGGCGAACGGGUGAGUAACACGUGAGUAACCUGCCCUUGACUUUGGGAUAACUUCAGGAAACUGGGGCUAAUACCGGAUAGGAGCUCCUGCUGCAUGGUGGGGGUUGGAAAGUUUCGGCGGUUGGGGAUGGACUCGCGGCUUAUCAGCUUGUUGGUGGGGUAGUGGCUUACCAAGGCUUUGACGGGUAGCCGGCCUGAGAGGGUGACCGGCCACAUUGGGACUGAGAUACGGCCCAGACUCCUACGGGAGGCAGCAGUGGGGAAUAUUGCACAAUAGGCGGAAGCCUGAUGCAGCAACGCCGCGUGCGGGAUGACGGCCUUCGUGUUGUAAACCGCUUUCGCCUGUGACGAAGCGUGAGUGACGGUAAUGGGUAAAGAAGCACCGGCUAACUACGUG
This 468-nucleotide ribosomal RNA is filed under the name uncultured bacterium. Its description in RNAcentral is "partial 16S ribosomal RNA". It matches the Rfam family "Bacterial small subunit ribosomal RNA", at positions 28 to 507 of the family's 1533-position model. The record is from RNAcentral.